CCGCCGGCGACGGGCGCCGGGCGGCGCUCGCGGUGCAGCGGGCCGUGGCACUCGCGUGGUCGCUGCGGUUCGACGACGCAGUGGCGGUC
RNAcentral lists this transfer RNA (89 nucleotides) under Actinomycetospora sp. NBRC 106375. RNAcentral describes it as "tRNA-Ala". The record is from RNAcentral. Lineage: Bacteria; Bacillati; Actinomycetota; Actinomycetes; Pseudonocardiales; Pseudonocardiaceae.